RNAcentral lists this long non-coding RNA (984 nucleotides) under Phasianus colchicus (ring-necked pheasant). RNAcentral describes it as "lncRNA (ENSPCLG00000004957.1)". The record is from RNAcentral. Lineage: Eukaryota; Metazoa; Chordata; Aves; Galliformes; Phasianidae.
UUCCCGGCGGGCGCACGGCCGGAGUGCGUCACGCUGCGUGAUCGCCGCGGCGCAGCCAAUGGGUUGCGGGCGGCCGCGCGUGGACAGCGCCCCGAUUGGCGAGAAAACUACAGCUGCCCGGACGGGGGACCAAUGGCGGGGUACGGCCACCACGUGUACAGCUCGUGGAUAAACAGGCAGCGAUGGGGCGGGGCAAAGCCAAGAGCGGGCGGGGCGUAGAGCGCCGGGGCGUGAGGGGGCACGUGGCGGGUCCUGCUGUAGCCCCUGUCCGCGGAACCGUCCCGGUUCUGGCCGCACGGCAGCCGAGGCGCGGCGGGGAGGCCGGGGCCGCCCGGUGAGCCUCAGUUCCUGCCUGCGGGCUGAGGUGGGAGCACUGAGCUGUGGGCUCAGCUUCUCUUUGUGGGUAGUGGGACUCUCAGAGAAUGGAAACAGGCCAAGGUGGUGCAGUGCGAUGCGUUCCCUGUUUGACCUAAAAGCUUGGGAAAACCCACAGCUCUUCAGUGAUAAAUGCACGUAUGCCAGGAAGGGGAGCGGGCCAGCCGGGCAGCGGUGUGGCCCUGUGCCCCAACCCCACGCUACAGCCACAGCCCUGCACCUCACAGAGCCACGCGCCCUCCUGGGCCGGCCGGUGCACUGAGUGUAACGUUUCUGUAUGAGGUUUCCUGUUUUGUGGUUGCCCAAUGCCUCUUCUUGAAGGAACGAGUUGCCCGCGUCUACGCUGGUGACAAAGAAGUGGAGCUUCUGACUCAGCUCUGUGCUUGGGGCUUCCAUUAUCUUCUGCUUCCUGCGUUGUUACAUCCUGGUGAGCCCAGGAAAGAACCAGCUCUGCGCUUCCCCGCUGACUCAGUUUCCAGGCUGAAGAUGGAUUGGCACAAUAUUUCCUUGCUCAUCAGGUUCUGGCAUGAGCUGGCAGAGGUAUUCCAAAUGCAGUUCAGCAAGGAAACGUACCACAGACGGGUGGGAUACAGCUGAGUAGAGCUGCUG